This is a long non-coding RNA of Branchiostoma floridae (Florida lancelet), 1375 nucleotides long. RefSeq lists it as uncharacterized. The transcript has 2 exons. The record is from RefSeq and is a predicted model, not a curated record. Lineage: Eukaryota; Metazoa; Chordata; Leptocardii; Amphioxiformes; Branchiostomatidae.
GCUCAGCCAGUACUGGGUCAAAGGUCAAUAGUUGGCGGGGACUUUUUACUUUCGUCCAGUGGUAUUACAGAAUUUUAGAUCUAAGACAUGAACCGAUGGCUUCAUGAGCAAACAUCAAGACAAGUGUAGACGUACGAAGGGCAAGGCUGCUGUCAAAGGUCUGCCACGCUUUUACCAUGGCAACCAACAUGGAGGGAAACCCACAGUCACACAGAUCAGCGCUGCAUCAGUCUCACAGUGUCCCAACAGACAUGUCAGAGUGUCGGUACGAUUUCUGCAUGUGGUAUCACAAGGAUGACCAGCAAACAGCUCAGAAUAUAUAUAGAAAAUUAGAAGAAGAUAGCUACGUGGGAUUCAUAGAGCACAGAGACUUUCAAGUUGGCAAUGAUGUGUUUUCAAAUAUUGAGCAUGGAGUUGACAAUAGCAGUAAGAUUUUGGUGCUGCUGACACAGUCUUCAUUGCAAUGUAGGUGGUUCGAGAAGAAAGUGCACGCUAGCUUGACAAAGUCCCUGGAUAACCCACAGAGACGAGACUGUGUGAUUCCCAUCUUUGAUGGGAUAAAAAAGAAUGAGGUACCCACUUCCAUAAAGACACUGACUGGUGUGGACUUUAGAAACAGGCACUUCUGGAACAGACUGAAGCAAUCCUUGGGGUCACCAAUGGAAGACACAAUGACACUGUCAAGAAGUGUUAGCAAUAGUACCUAGUCAUGGCUGGACUAUGAAUGUGUGCUUGACUUUUUUCCCCAGCUCAUAAUCAAAAAUGGAUACUACUUGUGUGUUAUUGUUAAACUAUACGGUACAUUUUGUUGAGUGAACUUCUAAAGCUCAAGAAGGAUGCUCUUUGUAUUUCUUGGUCAAAACACAGUCAAGAUCCUUGUUAAUUACAUGUUGAGUGCGAGUAUAUUAACAGUUUUGGAAAGAAACAAUAAGUAUGACUGUGAAGAGCUUGUAACAAGAUGAUGACCAUGCUAAGGGGACACAGGCUUUAGCACAAGGCACACUUAAACUCAUAUCAGUUCUUGUUUUGCUAAUCUUCAGGCAAAGCAAGUUGUACAUGAAGCAGAAGAAAAUGCAUACUAGUGGUACUUAUAGAUAUGUGUGAUGCAUUGACACUAUUUAGUUGGAUGUGAUACUAUUUAAAUUAAUCUUAUCUACAUGUGAAUUCAGUCCAGAGGUAACUCACACAUGACAUGAUUUUCUUUAAUUCUUAGUGCAUUUAAUCUGAGCAAGUAACAUACCUUCUGCAUCUGAUAACAACUGAUGCAAACUCUUACACAAAUAUUUACAUGAAGUAGUGAUUCCUCCAGUACCUUGUCAAAUUUACUUGUGUUAUGUUCCUCAUAAAAAUGCAAAUAUAAGAGCCAAAAACUGAG